Molecule: transfer RNA, 86 nt
Filed under: Acidimicrobiaceae bacterium
Lineage: Bacteria; Bacillati; Actinomycetota; Acidimicrobiia; Acidimicrobiales; Acidimicrobiaceae
Also listed under: 3 other names
Description: tRNA-Leu
Rfam family: tRNA
About the family: Transfer RNA (tRNA) molecules are approximately 80 nucleotides in length.
Source: RNAcentral
GGGCGAGUGGCGAAAUGGCAGACGCGCUGGCUUCAGGUGCCAGUGUUCGAAAGGACGUGGGGGUUCAAGUCCCCCCUCGCCCACCA